Molecule: ribosomal RNA, 460 nt
Filed under: uncultured bacterium
Lineage: Bacteria
Description: partial 16S ribosomal RNA
Rfam family: Bacterial small subunit ribosomal RNA
Source: RNAcentral
CCUACGGGAGGCAGCAGUGAGGAAUAUUGGUCAAUGGGCGCGAGCCUGAACCAGCCAAGUAGCGUGAAGGAUGACUGCCCUACGGGUUGUAAACUUCUUUUAUAAAGGAAUAAAGUGAGGUACGUGUGCCUGUUUGCAUGUACUUUAUGAAUACGGAUCGGCUAACUCCGUGCCAGCAGCCGCGGUAAUACGGAGGAUCCGAGCGUUAUCCGGAUUUAUUGGGUGUAAAGGGAGCGUAGACGGGUUGUUAAGUCAGUUGUGAAAGUUUGCGGCUCAACCGUAAAAUUGCAAUUGAUACUGGCAGUCUUGAGUACAGUUGAGGUAGGCGGAAUUCGUGGUGUAGCGGUGAAAUGCUUAGAUAUCACGAAGAACACCGAUUGCGAAGGCAGCUUACUAAACUGCCACUGACAUUGAUGCUCGAAAGUGUGGGUAGCAAACAGGAUUAGAUACCCGAGUAGUC